RNAcentral lists this ribosomal RNA (484 nucleotides) under uncultured bacterium. RNAcentral's name for it is "partial 16S ribosomal RNA". It matches the Rfam family "Bacterial small subunit ribosomal RNA", at positions 30 to 507 of the family's 1533-position model. The record is from RNAcentral.
AUUGAACGCUGGCGGCAGGCCUAACACAUGCAAGUCGAGCGGACGAAGGGAGCUUGCUCCUGGAUUCAGCGGCGGACGGGUGAGUAAUGCCUAGGAAUCUGCCUGGCAGUGGGGGAUAACGUCCGGAAACGGGCGCUAAUACCGCAUACGUCCUGAGGGUGAAAGUGGGGGAUCUUUGGACCUCACGCUAUUAGAUGAGCCUUGGUCGGAUUAGCUAGUUGGUUGGGUAAAGGCCUACCAAGGCGACGAUCCGUAGCUGACCUGAGAGGGUGAUCAGUCACACUGGAACUGAGACACGGUCCAGACUCCUACGGGAGGCAGCAGUAGGGAAUCUUGCGCAAUGGGCGAAAGCCUGAUCCAGCCACGCCGCGUGAGUGAAGAAGGUCUUCGGAUUGUAAAACUCUUUUAGUUGGGAAGAAGAAAAGUGUAAUUAAAUCUUGACGUUUUGACGUUACCAACAGAAAAAGCACCGGCUAACUUCGUG